This 502-nucleotide ribosomal RNA is filed under the name uncultured Sphingobacteriales bacterium. RNAcentral's name for it is "bacterial SSU rRNA". It matches the Rfam family "Bacterial small subunit ribosomal RNA", at positions 903 to 1382 of the family's 1533-position model. The record is from RNAcentral. Lineage: Bacteria; Pseudomonadati; Bacteroidota; Sphingobacteriia; Sphingobacteriales.
CGCCUUGCCAGCCCGCUCAGAACUUAAAGGAAUUGACGGGGGCCCGCACAAGCGGUGGAGCAUGUGGUUUAAUUCGAUGAUACGCGAGGAACCUUACCUGGGCUCAAAUGUAUGUUGACGUAUUCUGAAAGGGAUACUUCUUCGGACAAUAUACAAGGUGCUGCAUGGUUGUCGUCAGCUCGUGCCGUGAGGUGUCGGGUUAAGUCCCAUAACGAGCGCAACCCCUAUCAUUAGUUGCCAUCAGGUCAAGCUGGGGACUCUAAUGAAACUGCCUACGCAAGUAGUGAGGAAGGUGGGGAUGACGUCAAAUCAGCACGGCCCUUACGUCCAGGGCUACACACGUGCUACAAUGGCCGGUACAAAGGGCAGCUACCUGGUGACAGGAUGCAAAUCUCCAAAGUCGGUCUCAGUUCGGAUCGGAGUCUGCAACCCGACUCCGUGAAGUUGGAUUCGCUAGUAAUCGCGCAUCAGCCAUGGCGCGGUGAAUACGUUCCCGGGCCUU